GCCGAGGUAGCUCAACGGCGGAGCAGGGCUUUUGUAAAGCCAAGGUUGGAGGUUCAAAUCCUCUCCUCGGCUCCA
RNAcentral lists this transfer RNA (75 nucleotides) under candidate division WWE3 bacterium CG_4_9_14_0_2_um_filter_48_10. RNAcentral's name for it is "tRNA-Thr". It matches the Rfam family "tRNA". From Rfam's summary of the family: Transfer RNA (tRNA) molecules are approximately 80 nucleotides in length. Their secondary structure includes four short double-helical elements and three loops (D, anti-codon, and T loops). Further hydrogen bonds mediate the characteristic L-shaped molecular structure. tRNAs have two regions of fundamental functional importance: the anti-codon, which is responsible for specific mRNA codon recognition, and the 3' end, to which the tRNAs corresponding amino acid is attached (by aminoacyl-tRNA synthetases). tRNAs cope with the degeneracy of the genetic code in two manners: having more than one tRNA (with a specific anti-codon) for a particular amino acid; and 'wobble' base-pairing, i.e. permitting non-standard base-pairing at the 3rd anti-codon position. The record is from RNAcentral. Lineage: Bacteria; candidate division WWE3. RNAcentral also lists the same sequence under 2 other names.